AGAGUUUUGGAUCUGGCUCAGAUUGAACGCUGGCGGCAGGCCUAACACAUGCAAGUCGAGCGGUAACAGAUCCAGCUUGCUGGAUGCUGACGAGCGGCGGACGGGUGAGUAAUGCAUAGGAAUCUGCCCGAUAGUGGGGGAUAACCUGGGGAAACCCAGGCUAAUACCGCAUACGUCCUACGGGAGAAAGGGGGCUCCGGCUCCCGCUAUGGGAUGAGCCUAUGUCGGAUUAGCUAGUUGGUGAGGUAACGGCUCACCAAGGCCACGAUCCGUAGCUGGUCUGAGAGGAUGAUCAGCCACAUCGGGACUGAGACACGGCCCGAACUCCUACGGGAGGCAGCAGUGGGGAAUAUUGGACAAUGGGGGAAACCCUGAUCCAGCCAUGCCGCGUGUGUGAAGAAGGCCCUCGGGUUGUAAAGCACUUUCAGCGAGGAAGAACGCCUAGCGGUUAAUACCCGCUAGGAAAGACAUCACUCGCAGAAGAAGCACCGGCUAACUCCGUGCCAGCAGCCGCGGUAAUACGGAGGGUGCAAGCGUUAAUCGGAAUUACUGGGCGUAAAGCGCGCGUAGGUGGCUUGAUAAGCCGGUUGUGAAAGCCCCGGGCUCAACCUGGGAACGGCAUCCGGAACUGUCAAGCUAGAGUGCAGGAGAGGAAGGUAGAAUUCCCGGUGUAGCGGUGAAAUGCGUAGAGAUCGGGAGGAAUACCAGUGGCGAAGGCGGCCUUCUGGACUGACACUGACACUGAGUGCGAAAUGCUGACUCGUC
RNAcentral lists this ribosomal RNA (765 nucleotides) under Halomonas sp. RNAcentral's name for it is "bacterial SSU rRNA". It matches the Rfam family "Bacterial small subunit ribosomal RNA", at positions 8 to 770 of the family's 1533-position model. The record is from RNAcentral. Lineage: Bacteria; Pseudomonadati; Pseudomonadota; Gammaproteobacteria; Oceanospirillales; Halomonadaceae.